UGUAGCCUACCUGAAGAGGACGCACGGACUCACAUAAAUGUGAAAGCACCACUCUUCCACAGCGGGCUGCCAAUAAUUCCUUCACUUAGUAACUUGAGGUAUCCAGCCAAACAAGGCAUUUGGUUUUUGUGAGAGAAAUGUUCAGCUGCAGCAUCUGUUGUUGUGAUAUUCCCUUGUGCAAGCUAGCCGAUAAAAGGUGCCUGAGCUCACCAAGCAGAGCAAAACUGCACCAAGGCAUCUCUUAUACAAAUGAUUACAUGCACAUGUUCCUCUCCAUAAUCCUCUUAAGAGAUCAUUAAUGCUCCAGAAUGUCUGUCCCGAAUGACUCAAAAACACCAUCUCGGUAUUGUAUAAUUUAUGCUUCAA
Long non-coding RNA from Alosa alosa (allis shad), 366 nucleotides. RefSeq lists it as uncharacterized. The transcript is spliced from 3 exons. The record is from RefSeq and is a predicted model, not a curated record. NCBI's taxonomy places the organism in Eukaryota, Metazoa, Chordata, Actinopteri, Clupeiformes, Clupeidae.